AUACACAGCCCAGUACUGGAGAGAAAACUAGGACAGCACCUCUGAAGAGAGAUCAGAGUUAACGUUUCGGGUUCGGUGACCGUUCCUCAGAACUGAUGAUGCUUCCAGACCUGCUACGUUUUCCGAGCAAUUUGUGUUUUUGUUUCAACCUGCGCUGCUGUUUGCAGAAGAGAUUUACAAAGAUGAAUGACCCUCUGACAGAAACCAGGGCGGCACGGUGGUUCACAGCACCAGGGUCCCAGUUACUACUUCUGAAACCCUAGGAUGCCGAUGUGGGAUAUAGAAACACAGGAACAAACCCCAAUUAAAAGGGUCUUAACGAUCAAUAUGGUAGGGGAGGCACAGAUGGAAGGAGUAGAUAAUGGAUUAAUAGAAAAGCAAAAUACCACAGACGUUGGAAACCUGAAAUAAAAACAAAGUGUUGGAGAAAUUCAGCAAGUCUAGCACCAUUUAUGGAGAGGGAAACAAAGUUAAUGUUUCAAAUCUGAUAUGGUUCACCUUCAGAAUAUUCUCAUGGUUAACUCUGUAGCAAUUAUUGUUUGUUUUAAAGCACAACCUGACAAAAAUAAUUAUUAUAGACUGGUUGGAAUUC
Hemiscyllium ocellatum (epaulette shark) is the source of this 592-nucleotide long non-coding RNA. RefSeq lists it as uncharacterized. The transcript is spliced from 5 exons. The record is from RefSeq and is a predicted model, not a curated record. Lineage: Eukaryota; Metazoa; Chordata; Chondrichthyes; Orectolobiformes; Hemiscylliidae.